GAGAGAGAGAGAGAGAGAUCCCUCAUCGUUGCAGGUAGAAAGAGAGAGGUAUUGAGCUUUGCUGUUUUGUAUUGGUUGUGUUUUAUUCAAGCUGAUUUUCUUGAAUUUGUUAUGUGUAUUCUCCAGUUUUGUAGUGAUUGGGUCCAAUUUGUGACGAGAAGAUUGGGUUGAAAACAAGUGGAACAGGUAUGGUAUUUGGUUGUAUUUUUCUUUCUUUAAGUGAUUAGUUGAAAAUUGUGUGUGUUCUGAUGGGGUUUUAGCUUCAGAGCACAAAUAUUCUGAGCUUUUGUUCUGGGUCUAUUUAAUUUGAUCGGUUUCUAAGUUGAAUUGACAGAGAGUUGGGGUUGAUUGGUUUGAUUGUCCACUAUUUGAUUCGAAAGUUUGGUUCUUUUGAGGAAUUUGUAUUUGAUUGAUUGCAAACAGAGGUUCUGGGCGGUUGGUUGGGCUGAUUGGGGAAAACAGUGGAGCUGCAAACGCCAAAAAUCUAUACGUGAAGUUAACCUGAAGGUGGAUUAGCUUUUGGUUGGCUGGGAGGAGCAGCGCAUCUCCCUUGCAUGUCCCCUACACUUUGCUCUUUGCUUUAUCUAGCAGUUGCAACAUUCUUCAAUUAGAACUGUUCUGGAAGAGUUCCGGAAGACCUUCAAACUAGAGUUUUAUGAUGCAGACAGAUGUUAAGAGAUCAAAACUUCCUUCAGAUGCAGCUGACAUUGUGAUGGAAGAUGUCCCAUUAUUGACAAAUCUUCUGCAAUAUCAUGAUGCUAAGUGAUAGGAGCAUAAUUAUGCGAUAUUAAUAACGUUAACCUCUAUACUUUCUUUGUUAGUUAGUGUAUUUUCUCAUUAUUUACGUUGUGUACUUGUUUUAUAGGUAUUUUGAGCAAAGAAGGAGAAAAGAAGUAAAAGAGGGAUUGAAAGGCAAAAUCGGCAAAUCUGCCUGUGCAUAUCAGUCAACUUCGACAGAUCACUGAGACCAGC
Long non-coding RNA from Rosa chinensis, 972 nucleotides. RefSeq lists it as uncharacterized. Lineage: Eukaryota; Viridiplantae; Streptophyta; Magnoliopsida; Rosales; Rosaceae. The transcript is spliced from 3 exons. The record is from RefSeq and is a predicted model, not a curated record.